Pollicipes pollicipes is the source of this 249-nucleotide long non-coding RNA. RefSeq lists it as uncharacterized. The record is from RefSeq and is a predicted model, not a curated record. NCBI's taxonomy places the organism in Eukaryota, Metazoa, Arthropoda, Thecostraca, Pollicipedomorpha, Pollicipedidae. The transcript is spliced from 3 exons.
GCCGAUGCCGCUUACGUACAGAGUGACGGUGUGAAUGGAAAGCACGGUUGUUGGGUCUGCAGUGGGGUGUGUGCUGGAAAGAUGAAGAAGCGAGCGACGGUCCGUAUGUCCAUGUUUUGUCCGGAUGGCUCCCCUACACCAAUUGGCAUGGACAGAAACAUCACUAAAAGAGCAGCUGGAAGGUCGUCCAAGAAAGUUGCUGAGUUCAACAAGCUGUCGCGGCGGCGGCCGGAGCCGGCGUCGGAGCGC